UCGGCAAUGGGCGAAAGCCUGACCGAGCGACGCCGCGUGUGGGAUGAAGGCCCUCGGGUUGUAAACCACUGUCAACGGGGAGGAAAUACAGAAGGGCUAUCCCUUUUGUUUGACCUAUCUGUGGAGGAAGUACGGGCUAAGUUCGUGCCAGCAGCCGCGGUAAGACGAACCGUACAAACGUUAUUCGGAAUCACUGGGCUUAAAGGGUGCGUAGGCUGCGCGGUAAGUUGGGUGUGAAAGCCCUCGGCUCAACCGAGGAACUGCGCUCAAAACUACCGUGCUGGAGGGAGACAGAGGUGAGCGGAACUCAGGGUGGAGCGGUGAAAUGCGUUGAUAUCCUGAGGAACACCGGUGGCGAAGGCGGCUCACUGGGUCUCUUCUGACGCUGAGGCACGAAAGCCAAGGUAGCAAACGGGAUUAGAUACCCCGGUAGUCUUGGCUGUAAACGACGAGCACUUGAUUGAAGGGUCCUCCAUAGCCUUUCAGUCGUAGCGAAAGUGUUAAGUGCACCGCCUGGGGAGUAUGGUCGCAAGGCUGAAACUCAAAGAA
RNAcentral lists this ribosomal RNA (549 nucleotides) under uncultured bacterium. RNAcentral's name for it is "bacterial SSU rRNA". It matches the Rfam family "Bacterial small subunit ribosomal RNA", at positions 365 to 908 of the family's 1533-position model. The record is from RNAcentral.